UCCGUAGGUGAACCUGCGGAAGGAUCAUUACUGAGUGAGGGCCCUCUGGGUCCAACCUCCCACCCGUGUUUAUUUACCUUGUUGCUUCGGCGGGCCCGCCUUAACUGGCCGCCGGGGGGCUUACGCCCCCGGGCCCGCGCCCGCCGAAGACACCCUCGAACUCUGUCUGAAGAUUGUAGUCUGAGUGAAAAUAUAAAUUAUUUAAAACUUUCAACAACGGAUCUCUUGGUUCCGGCAUCGAUGAAGAACGCAGCGAAAUGCGAUACGUAAUGUGAAUUGCAAAUUCAGUGAAUCAUCGAGUCUUUGAACGCACAUUGCGCCCCCUGGUAUUCCGGGGGGCAUGCCUGUCCGAGCGUCAUUGCUGCCCUCAAGCACGGCUUGUGUGUUGGGCCCCGUCCUCCGAUUCCGGGGGACGGGCCCGAAAGGCAGCGGCGGCACCGCGUCCGGUCCUCGAGCGUAUGGGGCUUUGUCACCCGCUCUGUAGGCCCGGCCGGCGCUUGCCGAUCAACCCAAAUUUUUAUCCAGGUUGACCUCGGAUCAGGUAGGGAUACCCGCUGAACUUAAGCAUAUCAAUAAGCGGAGGA
RNAcentral lists this ribosomal RNA (584 nucleotides) under Penicillium chrysogenum. RNAcentral describes it as "eukaryotic LSU rRNA". The stretch from base 206 to 358 matches the Rfam family "5.8S ribosomal RNA". Lineage: Eukaryota; Fungi; Ascomycota; Eurotiomycetes; Eurotiales; Aspergillaceae. The record is from RNAcentral.